Molecule: transfer RNA, 85 nt
Filed under: Acholeplasmataceae bacterium
Lineage: Bacteria; Bacillati; Mycoplasmatota; Mollicutes; Acholeplasmatales; Acholeplasmataceae
Also listed under: 2 other names
Description: tRNA-Leu
Rfam family: tRNA
About the family: Transfer RNA (tRNA) molecules are approximately 80 nucleotides in length. Their secondary structure includes four short double-helical elements and three loops (D, anti-codon, and T loops).
Source: RNAcentral
GCCGAAGUGGCGGAAUUGGCAGACGCACUUGACUCAAAAUCAAGCGCCUACAAGCGUGCCGGUUCGAGUCCGGCCUUCGGCACCA